GACCCCAUGGAGCUUCAAACCCAACUACACCCCUAGCUCUUAUAGCCCCACAACCCCCCCUAGGCGCCGUGUGCUUGGUUUUAGGUUGGGGCGACCGCGGAGUACAAUAAAACCUCCACAAUGAAUGGGAACACCCCCUUAUCUGAGGGCCACACCCCCUAAGAAUUAGAACACUAACAUAAAAUGAUCCAUUACUUGAUCAAUGAACCAAGUUACCCUGGGGAUAACAGCGCAAUCCAUUUCAAGAGCCCCUAUCGACAAAUGGGUUUACGACCUCGAUGUUGGAUCAGGGUACCCCAGUGGUGCAGCAGCUACUAACGGUUCGUUUGUUCAACGAUUAAAACCCU
This 347-nucleotide ribosomal RNA is filed under the name Mantidactylus melanopleura. Its description in RNAcentral is "partial 16S ribosomal RNA". It matches the Rfam family "Bacterial large subunit ribosomal RNA", at positions 2087 to 2597 of the family's 2925-position model. Lineage: Eukaryota; Metazoa; Chordata; Amphibia; Anura; Mantellidae. The record is from RNAcentral.